Molecule: ribosomal RNA, 253 nt
Filed under: uncultured bacterium
Lineage: Bacteria
Description: partial 16S ribosomal RNA
Rfam family: Bacterial small subunit ribosomal RNA
Source: RNAcentral
UACGGAGGGGGCUAGCGUUGUUCGGAAUUACUGGGCGUAAAGCGCACGUAGGCGGCUUUGUAAGUUAGAGGUGAAAGCCCAGGGCUUAACCCUGGAAUUGCCUUUAAGACUGCAUCGCUAGAAUCGUGGAGAGGUGAGUGGAAUUCCGAGUGUAGAGGUGAAAUUCGUAGAUAUUCGGAAGAACACCAGUGGCGAAGGCGGCGAUCUGGGUAGAUACUGACGCUGAGGUGCGAAAGCGUGGGGAGCAAACAGG